GUUAACAGUUCAUUUCACGAACAGUGCUUUCAAAGUGUUCCAAAGUAAGGGAAGAAGAUGAAAAAUCCGCGCCACUUGGUGUUUUCAAUCAUGAUUUGUGCUUUGAUGCAGGAAACCAGCAACUACAAUGAUUCUAUUGUCAUCAGGCUCGACCAAUUUGAAGAACUGUGGAAAUGCGAACGUUUUUGCACAAGUUACAAAUCGCAAUUAAAAAACAUUUGCUUGAAAUUGAAAGAGUCUGCGCGGGGCAUGUAUUACCCCACAUCAGAAAUAGAAAAACUGUCCAAAUGUGAGGAAGGAGUAUUUGUUCGAUUAAGUGAAAAUGGUAACCAACAGCUAUAUCAAAAACACAUGGGAAUGUGUUACUUAGCCCAAGGUAACACCAAAUGUAUAUCAGCCGGUGAGAAUCGCGGCGAAAUUAUUGUAUAUGACUACGGCGGGGAAUUCUGUGAACCAAAAAGUAUAAAGGAAAAUUAUUUUGACGAAGGACAGAAUCGGCCAACAAGACCGUGGUGGAAAAUAUGUUGUGGGUAAUGGGAUGAUUUCAUUUAAUGUAAUAUGUACAUUACCUACCUACUCAGUUAUGAUACAAAAUUACAUUAUGUAAUAGGUACAAUACAUAGGUAGGUAUAACUGACAUAUCGAUCUCAUUACCCAUAAAAUUGAUCGAUAAUUUAUUAUCUAUAUAUAUGUAUUAAAAGAUCUUGAAAUGUUGUUCCAGCUCCUCUUCUCAAAUAAUAGUCUUUUACUGCACAUCCAAGUAUGAUUUUUCAAUUUUUUAUCUCUUUUGGGUCACUUUUAACGAAUGGAAAAAAUUGUAUACCUCCUAUUCAUUUAACCACUUUUUUCAAAAUUCCAACGCCUGAAUGUACUAAAUCUCAAAUUUUAAUUGAAAUUUCAAAACAGACAAUUUCUGCAGAAAAUAGCUCUAUAACUAACAUGUCCUCCUCUCAGGCUUGAAUCAAUUGCCAUUAUUUUCGAGACAAUUGGAGCCUCCAACAAUUAUCUAUGAUCGAGGAGGGAUAGUGACUUCUUCAUGAAUGCUUGAACAUUAUGAAAUGCCAGGGAGUGCUGCAAUGUGACUGUGUAAAGCUUUUCAAAGUGGUAGAUAAACCUAUUUCGAUAUUUCUGCAGAAAAACAAUCGUACUGCUAACCUUUGUAGGAUGUAACUAUUUGGUGACAAAUAUCGAGAAAGAAUAUCCACGGAGUGAUAAACAGAUUUGAUGGGUGGAUUGUAGAUUAUCUGAACUUAGGUGCUGUUAAAAGCAUCUGUGUUCCUUUCAAUUCUUGUUUCGGUCAUUUCAAGCCUACUUGAUAAUAUUUCCCAUAUUAUGUACUCUGCGUAUUCAUGCUCUGUUUUUUCGGAUUUUUAUCGAGACAGGCGAAUCAAAUUUUUGAAAAAUCGCUCUGGUCCACCAUUUACACACCUUUCUUAAUUUCAUUUUGUGAAAGCUCAACCAUCAAUAUGUUCAUCCAAAAAUGGAGCAUGGGUCCAAGUAUUUUAUACCAACUUUUAUCAAUGUUUGCCCCCCAAAAAGGGGUGAGGUGUUCUUUGGAAUUAUGCUUUCACUCAUUCAUUACAUCAAUCUAAUGAAACUAUAUCAUUCAGUUCCAAGAUUGACCCAUCGGGUUUUUUGCUUCCUCGAUUUUUGACAAUAAUCAAAUAAAUAAGUCCAUCAUUAUCGAGGUGGCUUCAAGGGGCUGGGGGGUGAACUGUCAGUAAAAGUGAUACUUGUGAUGAUCUUAUUCAGGAAAUUAAAAGCAUUUUUUCAUAACAUCUCAGGAUUUGCUUGAGUGUUUAAGGGUUAAAAAUGGCCACAAACGAUUACAGAUAGGUUCACUUUGGAAGGUGGUAGAAGUUUCGAGUGUUUGUAUUCACAUUUUUAAUUCUAUAGGUCACUGCCUUGUAGGAAAAUAGACUAGUACACUUUUCAUAACCCAUCAUCUCCGGAUUGCGAUUCACUUACCCUUAUCAAUAUUCUGACAUCGAUUUCAUCUCAAUUAGAAUUGGCACAUUUUCAGCUGUUCGAGUUGAAGUUUGAAAUCACUGGAGACAGGGCUACGUUUUUCUGAAGGCUUCACAUCGGUUCAAAGUCGUAGCCAUAUGGGAUAGUUUUAAUCAUAUUUUGACGUCAAAAACCAACAAUUCUUCGCAUCCUAGUUUAACACGUUUAGUCGCCAUCAAGUUGGAAAAAUGAAGAAUUGAGUCGUCAAGAGGGAGAUUUGCGGCACAAAAUUUCGAAAAAUGCAAUAUGGAUAUUGAGUUGGAGGUGUUUUAAGGCAUUCGCGCCAAUUUUGAAAUCCGUUCGACACCGAAAUCAAAAUCGAGUCUCUCAGAGUAAGAGAGGAUCUUGAGAUCAUGAAAUUUCAAAAAAUGCAAUUAAUUUCGAUUUUAGAGUCAGUCGGAUGUUGGAAUCAGAAUCAACAUUAUACUUACCUAAAAACCCCACAUUUCGAUUUUCUAUACGGAAUUUUAUACAAAAAAACUGAAAGAAAACUGAAUAAGUAAAGCUUUUGGCUUUGGCUAGCUUUUAAGUUUUAGCUUUCAAAUCCCCCCCAAACUUCCUCAGCUUUCAGCUAGCUUUCCUUCAAAUUUCAAGUUAUUUAUAUAUUACUCGUAAUCGUAAUUAAAAAACUAUUCGGUAUUCGACAUAAAGCAUGUUGAAUGAAUUGAUGAAAAAAAUCAUUAAAAUAAAUAAUAAAUUAAUAAUUCCAAAAUAUAAUUUAUAAAAUCUC
Molecule: long non-coding RNA, 2737 nt
Organism: Planococcus citri (citrus mealybug)
Lineage: Eukaryota; Metazoa; Arthropoda; Insecta; Hemiptera; Pseudococcidae
Exons: 2
Source: RefSeq, a predicted model, not a curated record